AUACGAAAGGGGCUAGCGUUGUUCGGAAUUACUGGGCGUAAAGCGCACGUAGGCGGCAUUGUAAGUUGGGGGUGAAAUCCAGGGCUCAACCCUGGAACUGCCUCCAAAACUACAGAGCUAGAGGAUGUGAGAGGAUAGUGGAAUUCCGAGUGUAGAGGUGAAAUUCGUAGAUAUUCGGAAGAACACCAGUGGCGAAGGCGACUGUCUGGCACAUUUCUGACGCUGAGGUGCGAAAGCGUGGGGAGCGAACAGGAUUAGAAACCCUAGUAGUCC
This 273-nucleotide ribosomal RNA is filed under the name uncultured bacterium. RNAcentral's name for it is "partial 16S ribosomal RNA". It matches the Rfam family "Bacterial small subunit ribosomal RNA", at positions 523 to 796 of the family's 1533-position model. The record is from RNAcentral.